Molecule: ribosomal RNA, 253 nt
Filed under: uncultured bacterium
Lineage: Bacteria
Description: partial 16S ribosomal RNA
Rfam family: Bacterial small subunit ribosomal RNA
Source: RNAcentral
UACGGAGGAUCCGAGCGUUAUCCGGAUUUAUUGGGUUUAAAGGGAGCGUAGGUGGAUUGUUAAGUCAGCGGUGAAAGUUUGUGGCUCAACCAUAAAAUUGCCGUUGAAACUGGAAGACUUGAGUGUGUUUGAGGUAGGCGGAAUGCGUGGUGUAGCGGUGAAAUGCAUAGAUAUAUGGAAGAACACCAGUGGCGAAGGCGGCUCUCUGGUCUGUAACUGACGCUGAGGCUCGAAAGCAUGGGUAGCGAACAGG